GCUCCCAUCCAGGAAGGCAGCAGGCGCGUAAAUACCCAUCCUGACACGGGGAGGUAGUGACAAGAAAUAACAAUACGGGGCCCAUCGGGUCUUGUAAUUGGAAUGAGUACAAUCUAAAUCCCUUAACGAGGAUCAAUUGGAGGGCAAGUCUGGUGCCAGCAGCCGCGGUAAUUCCAGCUCCAAUAGCGUAUAUUAAGGUUGUUGCAGUUAAAAAGCUCGUAGUUGGAUUUCUGGUAGGAGCGACCUGGCAUGCGAAAUUGCAUGGUUCAGUUGUUGUGUUCCGGCCAUCCUUGUGAAGAGUGUGUGUGGCAUUAAUUUGUCGUGCGCAGGAUUCACAUCUUUCACUGUGAAAAAAUUAGAGUGUUCCAAGCAAGCAGGUUUGCGUUGAAUACAUUAGCAUGGAAUGAUGAGAUAGGACUUUUUUGGUGCUAUUUUGUUGGUUUACACACCAAGGUAAUGAUUAACAGGGACAGUUGGGGGUAUUCGUAUUUAAUUGUCAGAGGUGAAAUUCUUGGAUUUCUGAAAGACGAACUAGUGCGAAAGCAUUUACCAAGGAUGUUUUCAUUAAUCAAGAACGAAAGUUAGGGGAUCGAAGAUGAUUAGAUACCAUCGUAGUCUUAACCAUAAACUAUGCCGACUAGGGAUUGGCGGGUGUUUGAUUUACAUGACCUCGCCAGCACCUCAUGAGAAAUCAAAGUCUUUGGGGUCCGGGGGGAGUUAUGGUCCCAAGGCUGAAACUUAAAGGAAUUGAC
This 752-nucleotide ribosomal RNA is filed under the name uncultured marine stramenopile. RNAcentral describes it as "bacterial SSU rRNA". It matches the Rfam family "Eukaryotic small subunit ribosomal RNA", at positions 408 to 1157 of the family's 1831-position model. The record is from RNAcentral.